Salmo salar (Atlantic salmon) is the source of this 232-nucleotide non-coding RNA. The record is from RefSeq and is a predicted model, not a curated record. NCBI's taxonomy places the organism in Eukaryota, Metazoa, Chordata, Actinopteri, Salmoniformes, Salmonidae.
AUCCCCUCCCAAAUUGAUAUAGAACCUUCACAAGAACACAUGGAGCAACUGCGAAAAGAAAUGACUGAGGAUAUACUAAAAAUGUCUGAGUUCAACAAAGCCAACAACUGCUUCAUGUGUGCCACUGAUAAAGAACCUGGAUGUGGCCCAAAGACUGACUGGAUUGAAUGUUUUGCAUGCCAACGGUGGUUCCAUGUGCUGUGCCUAGGAAUGAAGACAAAAUAGUUAAACA